This 429-nucleotide ribosomal RNA is filed under the name Acidobacteriota bacterium. Its description in RNAcentral is "Acidobacteria bacterium partial 16S ribosomal RNA". It matches the Rfam family "Bacterial small subunit ribosomal RNA", at positions 355 to 776 of the family's 1533-position model. The record is from RNAcentral. Lineage: Bacteria; Pseudomonadati; Acidobacteriota.
UGGGGAAUUUUGGACAAUGGGGGAAACCCUGAUCCAGCCAUCCCGCGUGUGCGAUGAAGGCCUUCGGGUUGUAAAGCGCUUUUGGCAGGAAAGAAACGUCAUGGGUUAAUACCCCGUGAAACUGACGGUACCUGCAGAAUAAGCACCGGCUAACUACGUGCCAGCAGCCGCGGUAAUACGUAGGGUGCAAGCGUUAAUCGGAAUUACUGGGCGUAAAGCGUGCGCAGGCGGUUCGGAAAGAAAGAUGUGAAAUCCCAGAGCUCAACUUUGGAACUGCAUUUUUAACUACCGGGCUAGAGUGUGUCAGAGGGAGGUGGAAUUCCGCGUGUAGCAGUGAAAUGCGUAGAUAUGCGGAGGAACACCGAUGGCGAAGGCAGCCUCCUGGGAUAACACUGACGCUCAUGCACGAAAGCGUGGGGAGCAAACAGG